UACGGAAGGCAGCAGUGGGGAAUAUUGCACAAUGGGCGCAAGCCUGAUGCAGCCAUGCCGCGUGUAUGAAGAAGGCCUUCGGGUUGUAAAGUACUUUCAGCGGGGAGGAAGGCGAUGUGGUUAAUAACCGCGUCGAUUGACGUUACCCGCAGAAGAAGCACCGGCUAACUCCGUGCCAGCAGCCGCGGUAAUACGGAGGGUGCAAGCGUUAAUCGGAAUUACUGGGCGUAAAGCGCACGCAGGCGGUCUGUUUAAGUCAGAUGUGAAAUCCCCGGGCUUAACCUGGGAACUGCAUUUUGAACUGGCAGGCUUGAGUCUCGUAGAGGGGGUAGAAUUCCAGGUGUAGCGGUGAAAUGCGUAGAGAUCUGGAGGAAUCCGGUGGCGAAGGCGGCCCCUGGGACGAAGACUGACGCUCAGGUGCGAAAGCGUGGGGAGCAAACAGGAUUAGGAUACC
This 454-nucleotide ribosomal RNA is filed under the name uncultured bacterium. Its description in RNAcentral is "bacterial SSU rRNA". It matches the Rfam family "Bacterial small subunit ribosomal RNA", at positions 340 to 786 of the family's 1533-position model. The record is from RNAcentral.